UACGGAGGGUGCAAGCGUUAUCCGGAUUCACUGGGUUUAAAGGGUGCGUAGGUGGGCAGGUAAGUCAGUGGUGAAAUCUCCGGGCUUAACCCGGAAACUGCCAUUGAUACUAUCUGUCUUGAAUAUCGUGGAGGUGAGCGGAAUAUGUCGUGUAGCGGUGAAAUGCUUAGAUAUGACAUAGAACACCAAUUGCGAAGGCAGCUCACUACGCGAAUAUUGACACUGAGGCACGAAAGCGUGGGGAUCAAAC
Molecule: ribosomal RNA, 250 nt
Filed under: uncultured bacterium
Lineage: Bacteria
Description: partial 16S ribosomal RNA
Rfam family: Bacterial small subunit ribosomal RNA
Source: RNAcentral